GGGCCCGCACAAGCGGUGGAGCAUGUGGUUUAAUUCGAUGCAACGCGAAGAACCUUACCUACCCUUGACAUCAUCAGAACUUGUUAGAGAUAACUCGGUGCCUUCGGGAACUGGUUGACAGGUGCUGCAUGGCUGUCGUCAGCUCGUGUCGUGAGAUGUUGGUUAAGUCCCGCAACGAGCGCAACCCUUAUCCUUAGUUGCCAGCACGUAAUGGUGGGGACUCUAAGGAGACUGCCGGUGACAAGCCGGAGGAAGGCGGGGACGACGUCAAGUCAUCAUGGCCCUUACCGGGUAGGGCUACACACGUGGCUACAAUGGUCGGUACAGAGGGUUGCCAAGUCGCGAGGCGGAGCU
This 354-nucleotide ribosomal RNA is filed under the name uncultured bacterium. RNAcentral describes it as "bacterial SSU rRNA". It matches the Rfam family "Bacterial small subunit ribosomal RNA", at positions 917 to 1269 of the family's 1533-position model. The record is from RNAcentral.